This 484-nucleotide ribosomal RNA is filed under the name uncultured bacterium. Its description in RNAcentral is "bacterial SSU rRNA". It matches the Rfam family "Bacterial small subunit ribosomal RNA", at positions 30 to 507 of the family's 1533-position model. The record is from RNAcentral.
AUUGAACGCUGGCGGCAUGCCUUACACAUGCAAGUCGAACGGCAGCACGGGAGCAAUCCUGGUGGCGAGUGGCGAACGGGUGAGUAAUAUAUCGGAACGUGCCCAGUCGUGGGGGAUAACGUAGCGAAAGCUACGCUAAUACCGCAUACGAUCUAUGGAUGAAANCGGGGGAUCGCAAGACCUCGCGCGAUUGGAGCGGCCGAUAUCAGAUUAGGUAGUUGGUGAGGUAAUGGCUCACCAAGGCGACGAUCCGUAACUGGUCUGANAGGAUGAUCAGUCACACUGGAACUGAGACACGGUCCAGACUCCUACGGGAGGCAGCAGUGGGGAAUAUUGGACAAUGGGCGAAAGCCUGAUCCAGCCAUGCCGCGUGUGUGAAGAAGGUCUUCGGAUUGUAAAGCACUUUAAGUUGGGAGGAAGGGUAGUAACCUAAUACGUUGCUACUUUGACGUUACCGACAGAAUAAGCACCGGCUAACUUCGUG